RNAcentral lists this ribosomal RNA (467 nucleotides) under uncultured bacterium. RNAcentral describes it as "partial 16S ribosomal RNA". It matches the Rfam family "Bacterial small subunit ribosomal RNA", at positions 28 to 506 of the family's 1533-position model. The record is from RNAcentral.
GACGAACGCUGGCGGCGUGCUUAACACAUGCAAGUCGAACGGAAAGGCCCUGCUUUUGUGGGGUGCUCGAGUGGCGAACGGGUGAGUAACACGUGAGUAACCUGCCCUUGACUUUGGGAUAACUUCAGGAAACUGGGGCUAAUACCGGAUAGGAGCUCCUGCUGCAUGGUGGGGGUUGGAAAGUUUCGGCGGUUGGGGAUGGACUCGCGGCUUAUCAGCUUGUUGGUGGGGUAGUGGCUUACCAAGGCUUUGACGGGUAGCCGGCCUGAGAGGGUGACCGGCCAAAUUGGGACUGAGAUACGGCCCAGACCCCUACGGGGGGCAAGAGGGGGGAAUAUUGCAAAAUGGGGGGAAGCCUGAUGGAGCAACGCCGGGGGGGGGAUGACGGCCUUCGGGGUGUAAACCGCUUUCGCCUGGGACGAAGCGGGAGUGACGGUAAUGGGUAAAGAAGCACCGGCUAACUACGU